AGUGAACGCUGGCGGUAGGCCUAACACAUGCAAGUCGAACGGCAGCACAGUAAGAGCUUGCCCUUACGGGUGGCGAGUGGCGGACGGGUGAGGAAUACAUCGGAAUCUACUUUUUCGUGGGGGACAACGUAGGGAAACUUACGCUAAUACCGCAUACGACCUACGGGUGAAAGCAGGGGAUCUUCGGACCUUGCGCGAUUGAAUGAGCCGAUGCCGGAUUAGCUAGUUGGCGGGGUAAAGGCCCACCAAGGCGACGCUCCGUAGCUGGUCUGAGAGGAUGAUCGGCCACACUGGAACUGAGACACGGUCCAGACUCCUACGGGAGGCAGCAGUGGGGAAUAUUGGACAAUGGGCGCAAGCCUGAUCCAGCCAUGCCGCGUGAGUGAUGAAGGCCUUCGGGUUGUAAAGCCCUUUUGUUGGGAAAGAAAAGCAGCAGGUUAAUACCCCGCUGUUCUGACGGUACCCAAAGAAUAAGCACCGGCUAACUUCGUG
RNAcentral lists this ribosomal RNA (492 nucleotides) under uncultured bacterium. RNAcentral describes it as "partial 16S ribosomal RNA". It matches the Rfam family "Bacterial small subunit ribosomal RNA", at positions 29 to 507 of the family's 1533-position model. The record is from RNAcentral.